RNAcentral lists this ribosomal RNA (489 nucleotides) under Triticum aestivum (bread wheat). RNAcentral describes it as "partial small subunit ribosomal RNA". Lineage: Eukaryota; Viridiplantae; Streptophyta; Magnoliopsida; Poales; Poaceae. The record is from RNAcentral.
AUGAUAGAAAUCAACCGGCUGAUCAACUCGUUGCUCCGCUGCGUCCAUCACCGUUCGAUCCAAUUUUUAUCGUGCUUACUGGAGUGUCCCACGUGUCUAACCACCAUCCACACAAAUCUGAUCCUCCAGGCAGCCAUCGUCUUCCUCUUUUCCUAUAGGCAAUUAGGCAUCUCCGGAAUCAAUCUCUCGUCCAGCUUCGAGGACACACUGCCCCAACUACUGCCGCUGCAAGCAAGCCUCUCCUUGGGUGCUUUUGUUGCAAACCGUCCUCACCAUUCCAAUCCCUUUCCUACUCCACCUCUCUCCUUCGCCUCUCCUAUUCGGAUAGGAUUUACUUAUGGUGAUGCCACCAUGGCCGACGGAGAUGCUGAUACUGCAAUUGGAGAUGCACCAGCAACCUCCUUCCCCUGGCAAUGCCGGGCACCGGUGCUGCAAUCUUGGCCAGUGCUCACCUGGCGGUGUUGGCAUAUUGCCGCCAUGGCCAGUUAG